Molecule: non-coding RNA, 1160 nt
Organism: Taeniopygia guttata (zebra finch)
Lineage: Eukaryota; Metazoa; Chordata; Aves; Passeriformes; Estrildidae
Source: RefSeq, a predicted model, not a curated record
CGUGUCCCCCAAGGCGAGCAGCCUCUCCCGCCGGGCUGCCGUGACUCCAUGCCCACAGUGCCACCUGCUGGAACCGCUCCUUCCCGUCCUUCCCGAGGGCUGCGGGAAGGGUCGGCCGGGCCCACCCCGGCUCCGCUCCCAGGCGGGGAAUCGGCCAUGGGCUCCAACCAUCGCUACUGCUGACAGCGGAGCGCCUGAGCGGGGCUGGCACGGCAGAGGGAACCCCAAACCCUCUGCCAUCCCAAACCAUGUCCUACCCACUGGGCUUCUCCACACAGAGGCCUGAAAACACAGCCUGCUCUUGCAGUGCCGAGAUGUCUGCACAAGCUGGCAUCAUCUUUUGAUCAUUUCAUUGAGAACACUCAGCUCCUGAGCAGAGUGCGAGAGUCACGGCGCUUCUAACAGAGUUAAAUCCUUCCAAGUUUUCCCGACCAUGGAUUUCUUCCCCCUGCUUCUUCCAAGCAGAGUAUUAAAAUCCUCCAAAUCUUAAUUGACCAACUUGAGAAUCCUCCUAGAGAAUAUCAAACACAUUUGACAGCUUGGAACUGCUUUUCAGUUACAAGCUUUUAAUUAUACUAAUUCCACUUAGCAGUUCUACCUCCAUGGCUUUUUUCUUUUUUUUCUUUUCCUGCUGCUGUUAACUGAAAUAUUAUUCUGUAAAGCUGAAGUUCAUCACAGGAUUGACGAGCAACUACUUUGGCAUUGUGGGUCAAGCCUUUCCAGCAGCAUAUAAGAGGAAAGAGAAACUGGCAGCAAACAACAAAAUUCAGAGGGAGAACAGAGAAGUCCACAGCUCAUUUUGCAGAACUCAGAGGCUGGGUAUCCUGAAGCUUCCAGAAGUGGCAGGAGGACAGAGAGAAGGAAAGAAGGUGCAGGAGGAAAAGGCAUCACAGAAACUGGAAAGGGAAGAAAGUUUUUUUUUACAAUUCCUUGUAAGAAAAGCAGUAGCAGGCAUUGCAUACCUUUCUGUAUCCAAAACUUGCAGAACCACAACAACCUUUUUCCCUUAAAACUGAAUGGGAAAUAGGAAAGCCAGGAGGAGCUGACUCAUGAAUUAUUGAAAUCCAAGUUACUUACUUAAUUUUUAAACUUUAGUUACCCAGUUACAAAGUCUUGACCCUUCCAUUGCCACAAUCAUAUUUAUAAAGUGCUUUAUCCUA